GACGAACGCUGGCGGCGUGCUUAACACAUGCAAGUCGAACGGUGAAGGUGGAGAGCUUGCUCUCUACUGGAUCAGUGGCGAACGGGUGAGUAACACGUGGGUAACCUGCCCCAAACUUUGGGAUAACUCUCCGAAAGGAGAGCUAAUACCGGAUAACAUUUUGAACCGCAUGGUUCGAAAUUGAAAGGCGGCUUCGGCUGUCACUUAUGGAUGGACCCGCGUCGCAUUAGCUAGUUGGUGAGGUAACGGCUCACCAAGGCAACGAUGCGUAGCCGACCUGAGAGGGUGAUCGGCCACACUGGGACUGAGACACGGCCCAGACUCCUACGGGAGGCAGCAGUAGGGAAUCUUCCGCAAUGGACGAAAGUCUGACAGAGCAACGCCGCGUGAGUGAUGAAGGCUUUCGGGUCGUAAAACUCUGUUGUUAGGGAAGAACAAGUGCUAGUUGAAUAAGCUGGCACCUUGACGGUACCUAACCAGAAAGCCACGGCUAACUACGUGCCAGCCGCCGCGGUAA
Molecule: ribosomal RNA, 517 nt
Filed under: uncultured bacterium
Lineage: Bacteria
Description: partial 16S ribosomal RNA
Rfam family: Bacterial small subunit ribosomal RNA
Source: RNAcentral